AGAUCUGGGGUGAGCAGAAGUCUUCACUUCCGCGGGACAAAGGCCCAGGAGGGUCGGGACUGUUGAGGCAUGCGGCAAAUACGCUGGAGCAAAAGUGGUGCCCAAUGCUCGGCUAACCUUCCCGGACUUCGGUUUUCUACAGUCUUGACGCGAGCAGCGGGUGUAGUAACUAAUCUGGAGACAAGGAUGACAGGAAAGGACACGCACGGACCUCUCCAACUGUAAGGGG
This is a long non-coding RNA of Mirounga angustirostris (Northern elephant seal), 229 nucleotides long. RefSeq lists it as uncharacterized. The record is from RefSeq and is a predicted model, not a curated record. NCBI's taxonomy places the organism in Eukaryota, Metazoa, Chordata, Mammalia, Carnivora, Phocidae. The transcript has 3 exons.